RNAcentral lists this long non-coding RNA (210 nucleotides) under Brassica napus (rape). RNAcentral describes it as "long non-coding RNA (BNAP_LNC018969)". Lineage: Eukaryota; Viridiplantae; Streptophyta; Magnoliopsida; Brassicales; Brassicaceae. The record is from RNAcentral.
AGACUUGUGUAAGUUUAUGUGUUCAAUCUUAUGUUAUGGAACCCAAACUUAUGUUAUGCUAAGCACUCAUAUGUUUAUCAAUUGGUACCAAUUGGUACUCUAUGUUUAGACUUUCAUCAUCAACCAUUAUUCUAAUAAACUAAUUUCCUAGACAUUAUCAAUAGGUACUCUCUUAAACUAAUUUCCUAGACUUUAUCAAUUGGUACUCUC